This 126-nucleotide small RNA is filed under the name Marmota monax (woodchuck). The record is from RNAcentral. Lineage: Eukaryota; Metazoa; Chordata; Mammalia; Rodentia; Sciuridae.
GCUGGGGCGCAAUGGCUUACGCCUGUAAUCCCAGCGACUUGGGAGGCUGAGACAGGAGGAUUGUGAGUUCAGAGUCAGCCUCAGCAAAAGCAAGAUGCUAAGCAACUCAGUGAGACCCUGUCUCUA